UGCACUCUCCUCAUACCCCUGAGCUCACCCUGUGAGGAGGAUUCACAUUUUUAAGCUACCAGCAAUACUGUCAUGGGAGUCCUGCAAAUGCUACUGCGUCAGGACUUUUAACAAAAAGUUGACUUUUAUUGAAUGCAAUUGAAUUGCAAUUAGCAGUGAUGAAUGGAUGUAUGGUGGUAGGGCUCUGCAAAUUCAGAUGUUGAUUUUUUGUUUGCCCUGUACUUUGUCAGUGGGAUAUGUUUCCAAAUGAAGAUUGUUCUGAUAAUGACUUAAAAGGCUAUUCCUGUUUCUAUUCUAUCCCAGGUUGCACUUAUAUUGAAUUUAUACACCAUUAAAUAACUUUAAAAUAUUUAUUUAAGAGCCACUGAUACUUUUUUUUAUGUGAACACUUUGACUUAAUGUUAAGAGUAUGUAUAGUCAGCAUUUCAUCAACAACAGACAGAAAAUGCAUUGGAUGAGCUUAUUACCAAGCAAGCUGGAUACAUAAUCAAUAUUCAGAAAAAAACCCCUGAACUGAGCAAUGUGAAAUAAAGGAAAACAUUUAGUUAAAAAUGGAAAUUGAUAAUCGUCUGUAGUAUAUAUCUAUAUACUUUUCACUGAAGUACAAAGCCUAUAAAAUCAAGUAUGUUAAUUGAUUCACAGAUUGCUGAAACAUGACUGUGAUCUGAGCCAACUGAAUUAUUUUUCUAGGGGAAACUAGCAUAUCCUGAGGAUCAGAAACCCUGAAGGACACUUUUUUGAAUCUUGUGUUUCCAGGCAGAAAGCGAAAUGUUCUCAUUUUCCUCUGUCCUCUCUUCUAUACAUUUUUUUCCCCCUCAUCUGGAAUUGAUUGUAGCAGUGGGCACUGUGCUUUCACAAACCAAGCACGCUUCCAUACAAUUGUGAUAUUUGCUUGCUGCUUUAUCAGUCCAGGGCAAACUGCUCAAUCUAUUUUUUUAUGGUACCUUCUUUUUAUUACACUUGCAUAGUGCAUGGGCAUGGUUGUUAACAUUCAGCUGUAUUUGUACAAAAGAAUAAAUAGGAGUCAUCCCAGCUCUACUGACCACUGAAAUACCUCUUCUGCUUUUCUGCUCUUAUUAAAAAGUUUGUUCAUGUUUUUCUCUGUAUCUCAUCUACAAAGUAGAUGAGAUUUUGCCAGCAUCCUGUAGUUUGUGCUGUAUGAAUCAAUGGAGAAAAUAGUCUGCUGUGUGUCUGGAAUUUGAUAUUUACCUAUUAAAUCUGAAAGGUAAAGCAUCUGAAAAAGAAAACGGUCUCAACCCUUCUUUUGCUGUACUCUGUGAGAAUGCCAUGCUUAGUAAGUAUACUUUUGAAUUGUGGAAUGAGCAUAUAUGGUAGGUACCAGGCUGCUCAGGGUAAUGGUUACUUUGUUGUGGUGUGUUACGUGAUCAGGUUUGGUUAGAAACUGGGUAGAAGUACCCUGAAAUCAGCAGAACUGUGUCCAGGCAAAGGGAUCUGCCAGUACAGCUACUUGUAAAAUUCUGGAGCUAAAAUCUCAGUGAUACCCAUUUAGCACUGUGUGACUUGUAGUUUUUUCAGGUAGCAGCCCUGCAGUUGGAUGUUUAUAGUGUCAUGAAAUCUGUGCAGUGCAGCUCCCCACCAUGAGAAGGGGUGGCCUUGUUCCCAAGAGUGACCCGUGCAGUUCCCAGCUCUGAUCAAGGCUGGUGUGACUGGAUCACUGGGGAUUGCAGCAGGGAAUGGGGGUGGGAAGGAGAGAAGGCAAAAGGGUGUAUUUGUGUUGGGCAGUUCAUGUCUGUAAGCCUGCUCUUUGGAAGUGGUGAAUGUCACCAGUGUCACUUGCUUGGGUCACUCUGCAGUAGUACCUGUGGAGGGAAUUGCUUCAUGGGUGAUUGUGACAUCCAGGGACAGAGGGAACUGCUGUGUUACCCUGUGUCAUUACCCUUCCCAAAGUUGCCAUGAGUGAGUGCCAUCCCCUCCUGAUCAAAGAGGUUCCCAGGGCCGGCUCUGCUGGCCCUUGAGGCACCUCAAGUGAAGCUGAAGCCAAUGCAUUGAUAGGUAUUAUGUUACCUAAAUGAUAUAGCUGAAAAUGAAAGGAGAAGUACUAAAGGGAGAGCGCAGAGGAUAAGCAGCUGCAGAAACCUCUCUUCCACUACUUAUGCUGCUGCCUGUCAAACUCAACAAAUGACACCAAAAUGUGUCAUUGCUGGAUUUGUAAAUAGGUGUGCUAUGAUGUAAAAAUCUGCUCUUUUCCAGGUGGGUGUUGCUCAUCUCUCAGCAGUGCAUGGUAAUGUGACUGCCCCUCUCAAAGGGGGGAGAUGGGGUUUCGUGUCAUGGUCCCCCUGAAAUGCACACACAGCAUCUGAAAGGUGGGGCCUCUCCCCAUCCUGCUUGGAACUGUGAUGCUUUGCCUUCCUCUCAAUUAAUAAAUGCUCAGGUGUUUGUUAACUUGAUUUAUUCUUUAUUUAUUGACAGAGCCGCUUUAAGUGUGAACAGUUACAUUCAGUUUCACUGUUAAUUUCUUCAAGGCAGUCUCACCAUUUGCAUAGUGCAGGGGUUUCUGCUGUUCAUGAAAACUUCCAAGAUCUUGUUACUAAAAUAUUUUAGUAUAAAACCAGUUGUUGUAAAAAGACUUUUCUGAUGUGAUGUUUUUUUCCCAGUGAAAUCUAUAGUUACCUUAGGCUGGGAGGAGAUUGCUGUUUCAACCACUGAAAAAUUUUGAUACAGCUUAUUUUUAAUUUUCUUUUUAUUCAGGAAAAAACAAAAAUUGGUAAAUUGUUUCCGUGGAGUAGUAUGGUUUGUUUUACCAGAAGUUUUACUGUAUGUCAAGCUUUCCAGGUAAUUACAGAAGCUCAUUUGAGUCCUCUGAGGGCAGAUAUUGAAGGUGAAGGUUGCCCUUGUGUGUGCUUCACUGCUUUGUUGUGGACGCCUUGAUGGAGAGUCCUGUGCCAGUGCUCUCACUGCACCACGGGUUUCUCUUAACUUCCCAGUGACUGACAAAGGACUGUAUUGCAACAUAGAUGCUUGCAGAGGCUCAGGUCACUGGCAAGGCUUGGUAAGUGGUACCCUGUGUUCUCUGGGGUCCUGUGCACCUGCAAUACUCCAGUUGUGGCUGUGGCCCCUCCAGCUUCCCUGGGCACAGCGUGUUGGGCAGUCACAGUCCCAGCAGUGCUCCCUUACCCUUCAGCCUGUGUUGGGUUGCACCCAUCUCCCUGCAGCAUCCUGAGCUGAGUGUUGGGACUAUUCAGAGUGCUGCCACCUGACCUGCAUUUGCAGAUGUGUUUGAUGUAUCUGGUUAGUAACCGUGCCCAUGUCAUUAACAGAGAAGAUAAACACUAUUUCUAAGAAUGGAAGCUUUUGUAAUCUUAUUGAAGGCGCAGGAUUUCAUGAAAAAUUGCUUUGUGAUAUUUUGCUUAUACUGCAAAAUUCUCACUUGAGGUCAUAAAAGUCAGAGUCUUGCUCCAAAUUUUCCAGCAGUGGUAUUCCCAACACACCCUGUAACUACAGAAGGCACUAAGCAUCCUGCUCAUUUUGUUAGAACAGAGCUCUCUAGAAUUCUUGAGAGACAAUUCUUACUAUAUAAAUACAUCAUUAUGCUAAAUGUUCUUUGGAAUGAAAAGCAGGUAUUCCCAAGUCUGCUGUUCAAGUAUUGCUCUUGCAGAGAAAAUCUGUUUUGCUCCUAAAUCUUCUGAUACUUCAGAAUAGCUGUGAAGUUAAAAAAAAAAAAUCUUUCCAACAACAGGAGGUGAAAGAAAAGUACAAACAAAAGAACAACACCUAAAAGAAACCCCAACAGCCCCCCAACAUUUAUUACCCAUACCCUCUUCCUCUCCCUCUGUUCCCAUUGUACUUUCCCUCUCAAAUGAAGAAAACAUAUUCUUUCCAGACAAGAGGGCGUGGCUUGCCCAUAAUUUUUCUUUUAGAAGUAUGAAUUUCUUUCAGUCUAAAUAAAUGAAAAAAUAAUACUGAGAAAACAAAUUGUUUGCAUGUACUUUAGUGUGUUAUGAAGUGUGUGAUGUGUUUUUUAAGGGAGGCAGGAAUGUGCAGAAAAUGGGAGAGAGAGCAGAAUGUAUGUGGCUGUUGCAGAGUCCUUUUUGCAGUGCAUUGUGGAAGGUUUCUGGCACCACUUCUGAACACUGUUUCAGAGUGAGCUUCCUUUCCUAAAGCUCUGCACUGGAGAUAAUACUCUGGAAAGUAUAAAUGUACAUUGAGGGACAUCAGGAAGGGAAAUGUUUAGCACACUUAGGUGUAAUGCACAGCAUUGAUUCCUGUAAGAAGAAUUGCUUAAUCAUAAGCUUUAAAAAAAACAAAACAGCUGAGCUUGUUUAAAAGUCAAGCUUGUGAGAACAAACCUGAGUCAGGAUGUACUGGAACGCUUAUUAAUGUAACUAUGAUAUAUGGAUGCACCAGAUUUUUAAUCAAAGGAAUAAUUUUACCUUAAAAAAAGUACCUGAGGGAAAAGAAGGGAAUUGGAAGAACAGAACAACUUACUGUCACCCAUGUUUUAAUUUCGUUUACCCAUCUUUGCUGCCAUACUUCAAUCUGCAUUUGCAGUGAGGUGUAUUUGUAUUCACAGUCCACCAGCUCUGGGUGUUACAAAGUAAUUUUCAAUAGAAUGUGACUUUUUUAGCAGUGAACUCAGUUAAUCAAAGAAACUGGUUUAUAUUAGUUUUGUUUUUUGUAAUUUUUGUUAUGGUUUCUGUACAACAUGAUGUAGCAGCUAAAUUAUUGGUUAUGGAACAGCUAUCCAGGCUGUGCAGCAGUACCUACACUUUAACAUGCCAAUAGCUAUUUCUCCAGCUAACAUUUCCUAUUCUAAAGACUGCAAUACAUAAAAUAUUUUUUUGUAAGCAUUUUGUGUAAUUAGCUUUAUAACUUGUGUAUAGAAAGAAAGCCAUGUUAGUAAUAUUCUUAAAAAUUGAAGCAAAGCAGACAAAGUAUUUUACCUGCUUUGUCUACAGUCACUUCCCAUUGUUGUCAUUUGACAGUUGAAUUUCUUGCUUUCUAAUGCCUUUAUCAAAGAACCCCAAACAAACAAUUACAAACAACGAUAAAAAAAUUUAAAAAAUCCCAAAACAAAACCAACAAUAAAUUGCUGUGUUUCUUGGGGGAGAGAUGCAUAAUUUUGUAGAAGUGAGUGCUAUUUAUGAUUUUGUGCAUUUUAAUUUUCCUUACUAUUUAAGAAGGUUCAAUAUCAACAAAAUGGUAAGUCACCAGAGAAACUUAGUGUUCUCCUGCAAGAAAUCUUGCAAAAGUAUAGGUUUUUUUUUUGGUGUAAUGCUUGUUUGCCAGAUGAUGAAGGCUUCAGAGGAGCUGGUCAGAGUGUGUGAAGGACUUGGUGUGAAGUGACACUGGUGCUGGAGCCCUUUGGUGUGUAUGUGGUGAAUGCCAAGGGACUUUUGCAGGUGUGAAUGGUUUGGGCAGUGGUGUUGGCAGGAGAGAGAAUUUUGGAGCUUGGAUGGUUGGGGGAUGCUUUUUCUUAAGGAUCAUUGAAAUAACUGGCUGCACAUGACUGCAGAGUGAACUUCCUUAAGCCACAGGAGGACUGCCUUCCCCUCUGCAUUUCUGGUCUUCCAGUAAUGAUAUAUAAGGAGCUGGUCAAUGCUACAAGCCUCAACAGAGCAUAAUGCUGGGAAUAACUCCUCUUGUUCUCUCAUAUAAAAUAACUCCUCUUGUUCUUCUCAUAUAAACAGGGAUUUAAUUGCAGAAAUGGCUGCUCAGCAGCAGCUCAGUGUUUGGGCAGUGUAUUUGUGAGGAUGUUAAGACUGACUGUGACUUGUUUAUCUGUGGUUUCCUGGUUUAUGGUAGCUGUGGCAUAUAGGCUUUUUCCUUCCUCAGAGAUAGAUAGUGUGCAUUCGUGAUUUCUGCUAUGGUAUCUUUUCCUUGGUCUGUGUGGUUGUAAACCUUGCUUGGCAGAAGGCUUGGAAAACCUACAUAACUUAGACUUUUUUUCUUUUUUUUUUUCCCCCCAGUAGGAAAGGCGAGGAAGCUGGGAAGGAUCUUGUUAUCCUUUGCCAACCUACAGUGAAUUUGUCUAGUGAGCCUGCCUUUCUCCCCUGUAUCUUCAGUGAUAGUCCUUGGUGAGAUGGAGGUCUCUGUGCCUUGUUGGUUUUGUUCAGCUGAGGUGCCAGGUGCAGGCUCUGGCGAGAGGAGUAGCAGUUGCUGACCAGCAGACCAAGGACUGUUGGUACUGCUGGCCAAAAUGCCCAUGAGUUGAAUUUGAGGCUAUUUUAUAGCUGCUAACGUGAGCCAGGGCUACUGCUGGCAUUUCUUUCCCCACCCUGUUUUCCCUGCUGUGCUUUGCAUUGCUGCAGAGACAGCAUUUGGGAGCUGCUUACUUGCAGACUUUGUGAAAGCCAAUUAAAGAGAGAAGAAACAGCAAAAAGAUUAAUUGGCUGGGGCCACUGGUCACAGCAUCCCUGAGUAAGUCACACUGGCUGUGAGUUAGCAUCAGGUGGGUGGAGAGCUGUGUCCCAUCAAGCUCUGGCUGGUGUUUUGUGCCUUGUUGGUGCCCUGCUGUCCCAAGGGGAAUGGGAUUCUCAGUCUGGCCUCUCAGGCACCUCUGCACCACCUCUGGCUUGGGGCAGUCCUGUUCCUCUACCCAUCACUGCAGUCACCCAUGCUGCUGAAGGCCAGACUUCUGCAGGUGGUGGCAGGGCAAGAAGGUAUUGCUCCAGGUAUGCCAGCAUUAGAAUUUUGUUUUGAAGACUGAAUAGAUAAGUACUAAAUUAUUAAGCAUGCCUUGGUUCUCCCUUCUUCUUUCCUAAAGCAGCUGAAAGAAAAAAGAAAAAAAACCUGUAUUAUGAAUUACAAAAUAAUUUUAGUCUAGAUCUUAUUUUUUGAAAAUGAAAGAUUUACCAAUAUUAAUUUAACUACAGUAAAUAAAACACUUUAAUCAACAUAAACAGGAACAUAAUAAGCAACAAAAAUGUAUAUAAAAAAAACCUUAAUGGAUGGGUGACUUAGAUCUUGGCAGUGGUGUUUUUUUCAAGGGCAGGAAUUACUGUUGUGCUGGUAAAUAAAAUAUAUGACCUCCAGUUGUUUCUGUCCUGCAUGUUGUAGCUGAGCAAAACUUCUAGUCAUGAUAUUAUACUGAAAUUCCUUUAUUUAUCCUUUCUUUCCUUGAAGUCAUGGACAAUAUGUUUGAGAAUUUUCUUUUAGUUGUUGUCUGAUAUAAACCAAAUCUGCUCCCAUCUGCUGAAGGAGGGGGUCAUAUAAACUAAUGAACUGGGUGUUGUAUGGGCAUCUUUCAGAUUAUGACACACUUUCAUUAUUUAUGCAUAUGUGCGAAUUGCCCUGUGUCAUAGCACAGUGCCUGCUUUGUAGCAAAAUGACAAUAAUCUCUUUGCACAUUUCCUGGGUUAGGAAUCAAAUAUAUUUCUGAACUUCAUUUAUUUGCUUUGCUUCCCAAGUGCUUCUUGCAAGAAUUUCACUAGAAUAAAAUGUGAUGCUCUAUGCCAAGUUAAAAUGUUUUCUGCGAGCGAGCAAGAAAAAUAAUGCAGAUGUGCUAUACACAUCUUGGCAGAAGACUAGGGUUUUUUAUAGCAUAUCUACCAUCACAGCUCAAGCUUGGCAAAACAUUCCUGUAGCAUAUGUAUAUGGCUUUUCAGGCAAACAGUAAGCAAAGUUUAAUGUGGCUUGCAGCACAGACUGAAGCUCUCUGGAGUUGGGGAUGCUUUCUCCUGAUUUCAGUGCCAUUUGAGCCAGACCAAUUAUGUGGUUGCACGUUUGUCUUGGCCUUUCAGGGUAGUCUCUUUUGGAUUUAGUCUGUAAUCAAAAGAGAAUGUCAGAAACAGAAGUCUCAAAUAACCUUUUCCUUUUGCCUGUAAGGCUGAAACAAGAGAGACUUAUGUAGGCAGAAAUAAUCUAAAGCUAAAUACAAAGUAAUUGCACAAAAUGCUUAUUAUUUCACUGUUUCUGGGCUGCCCUGUGAAAGUUUGAACUGCAAGUUUUAGGUCAAAGACAAACUGUAUUUUACAGUUUGGCUUAAAAUGGUAAUGAGCUUUUCUUUUAAAGGAUGGAGAUCUGUUAGAAAUUACAAAAUCUGAGUUCUCCUCAUGCCGUCCUUUUUUUAUAUUUUUCCUGUAAGAUUUCUGUGCUGUGCAUAGAGCUUCUCCUGCAUAUCUUCAAAAGAUGGAUGAACAUCACCCACUGAACUGAUCCUGUGCCCUCCCUCCUGCUUGCCAUAGCUAACCAAUGCUUCAUCCAUAUAAUUUAGACUCUUAAGCCUUCUUGUUGUGGGACAAGGCCCAGAGUCUCUAAGGGAUUUGUGUAAUUUUCCCAAAGAUUAUUUUACUGCUGGUUAGAGUAUACUAAAGUUUAUUUCUGGUCUGAAGCCCCCUCUUAUAUUCUUUUUUUGGCUUCAGAAGCAACCAGGCAGAGAGAGGCAAAGGAGAGGAGCCCUUCUGCCACACGAUGCAAGCAGCGCAGGCAUGAAGGCUGGACUUCAUUCCUAUCAGAGAAGUGGAAAGUGCUUCUCAUUGAAUUGAACUUGCAGCAAAAUAGGCUGGGUGUUCCACAAUUAAAUCUAGCUAAAUUAGCACUGACAACUUAAGGUUACCUCCUACCUGUGGAACAACCCUGUCCACACUUCUCUCUGGAAAUAAUAAAAUGAAUUUUAGAAAAUCCACUGAAGUACAUCAGUAAAAUUUCAACUGGAUCAGCUAUGAACUGUAAGUUUUCUGAAGCAGAUGGUCCAUCUCUGGGUAAGCAGGAUGCUGGUUCCUGCUGAAAUCUCUGGCUUCUGUGUUAAUGUCAGAAAUAAGGUGGGGUGGAGGAGGAGAUGGCAGGGAGCUUCCCCUGUGUGUCACCGCAUCAGCCGCGCACCGCUGCCCCGCAGUUCUGCUGCCAGCGGCGCCGGCUCUGCAUGCCCCACCCAGCUCUGCUGCCCUUCACUUUUUUCAAUAAGUACCUAUAGCCUCACCUGGCUGUGAUGCUCACAGAAAAGGUGAGCUCAAAACAAAGCUUUGCGUCUACAUGUCUUAGUAUUUGAGGUCUGAAAAUUCUAAACAAAAUAUAACUUUUCUUUUUUACUCUAUUGGAUUGUCAUGGUGGUGUGGAUAAAAAUAUAUAUACAUAUACCUUUUCGGUUGUGACCAAGGUCCAGAUUUUUCAUCCUGAAUAUAUAUGUUUAUGCAGAGUGAUAUAUGCAGUUGUAACUAUUUAUGGAACUGUUUCUGAUAUCUGUCGUUUGUAUAUUGAUUUAAUUGUUUCAGUGGAACAUUUAUCUUCUGAACACAAGUGAGAAUGAAUGCUUAAGCACAGUCUUUUCUGUUUGUUUGUUUGGUGUUUGGAAAAAUAGCUGUUUUGAAAAUAUGAUCUUUUUUUGUGUGAAUCUUGAAGGUGGCUUAUCAAAAGACAAGUGCUAAACUACUGAAAAUUUCAAGGAAAUCUUAAUUUAAAAAAAAAAUAAAUCAGUUUUCCAGAAAAGACUUGUAUAAAAUUCAAAGUUUAAGGAAUUUUGUUAGAGUUAUCAUAGGAGGUUAUAAAUUACCAUUUUAAAACAUCAUUGUGCUAAAUUCAAAUUGAUUUAAUUUAGAAGAUGUGUCUUGUUCAGAAUUAUCAGCAUAAAUGUGUCUGCUUUUACUCUUAUUUUACAGACCAGUGCAGAGAACAGCUUGAAUAUGUUCUACUGUAUUGUGCAACAAGAUUGUACUUUUCAUAGGAAGGAUGAAAAACUCCAGAGUUCCAGAGAAUGUGUAUUUUUUUCCCUUGUCUUUGUAUUUUUGGAGAUUGUUUGACUAGUACAGUAUUAUGUUUGAUCUCAUCAGAUGCAGAUAGUCCAAAAAGAAUGUUUUAUACAAACUUUAUGAUUCUAGAACUUUUUGUGUCCAAGGCACCUUAAUUUUUUUUUUUCCCUAAAGCUAAAUGAAUUUUUAAACAACCAUGGUUUUAAGUAAUAGAACUAGCUAGUGAACACAUUUUUUUAUUGUGUGAAAGUAAGUAAGGAUUUUUUUCCCCCAAAGUAUGAAUGAAAGGGAUAGCUUUUGUGAAAAAUACUUCCUAAAAUGCCUGUGGGGGCUGUUUCAGAGAGAGGAAGUCUGCAUGGGACAGGGAUGCUCAGCUAGGAGGAAGGGCUAGCAGCAAGGUCAUACUCUGCAGAGUUUUCCAUAAACCUGCUGCUUUUCCAACACAUGUUGGAUGUCUUAAUCACUGACACUGAAGUAUUUUCUAGAAAAGCUUCGGAUCAAAGAAAAGCUUUGAGUAUGCUGACAUUUUUACUUCAAGUUUGGUUUGCACAAAGCUGACAUUUAAGAAAGCUUUCUCCUCGGGAUGAGGAGGAUUCCCAGCAUCUCUAAGCUGGCUAAAGCGUUUCUUUUUUCAAAUGGCAAGAUUCUACUUUAUUGCUAAUUUUUACGUUUUUACUUUGUCUUUCUUGAUGAAAGGGAACUGCAUUCCUAAUGUAACAACCUGCAAUGUGUGUGGAAGAACAGAGUGAAAUGACAUCAGCCUUUACAAAAUCAGAAGAGUAGAAGGUGUGUGAGUCAUCCAGUGAAAUAAAAUGUUACUAAGGCUGAAUUUUACUGUAUGAUGCAAACCUCCUGAUGAAGUCCACGCAUGUGAACUUGGAACAGAAGUUGGCCUAGCUGAGGGUGUUGCUGUGAGUCAGUGUCUGAUUUCCAACAGCUGGGAGAGUGCAAUCCCUCCCUGUGUGCGCUGUGUUUGUGUCCCAUCACUUACCUUAUAGGCAUGGGAUUUAUUACAUCUACAGUCUGGUUUUUACAUUGAAGCCUACAUGAGUAGGUUUCCUGCCUCUUCCUUUUCUUCAUCACUAGUGUGUGAAAGUACAGCAAAGCUUUGAUUUCAUUUUAGAGGAGUUGGGGUCUGUGUAUUGGACAUGCUGCGAGUUUGGAGGACAGCAAAGGCCCUGGCUGGCUUUAUCAGUCUCUUGCAGCUGGUGCAUCUUGCUCUGUGUCUUAACCCAUGAAAGUUCAUGACCUCUGUGUAUCUGACCAGCUCACUAUAUAUAGAUCAGGAUCUUCCCUGGGAGCUCUCCUGGCAGCCUGUCAGGUGCAGCCCUGGAGCAGCUCAGUGCCCAGGUGCAGGUGCUGUGUGUAACCAAUUUGUGUGUGCAGUUGUUUGUCCUACUCUUCUCUGCUGGGGCUUUAAUCUGUGCAUGGCUGGGAGUUACAUUUCUCUAGGAAAAAGCCUGUGAAAACAGCUGUAAGACUCUCUGCCGAGCCGAGGAUUUCUUCUUUAGAAAGCAAAGCCCCAUGUUCCUGGAAAA
Taeniopygia guttata (zebra finch) is the source of this 11182-nucleotide non-coding RNA. Lineage: Eukaryota; Metazoa; Chordata; Aves; Passeriformes; Estrildidae. The record is from RefSeq and is a predicted model, not a curated record.